Molecule: long non-coding RNA, 624 nt
Filed under: Gossypium barbadense (sea-island cotton)
Lineage: Eukaryota; Viridiplantae; Streptophyta; Magnoliopsida; Malvales; Malvaceae
Description: long non-coding RNA (GBAR_LNC021077)
Source: RNAcentral
GAUGGUAUGGGUUCAACCCAGGUUCAUUCUUGACCAUCAUGAAAGGGUAUGGUGGUGGUGGAGGUUAUUAUGGACAAUGGAGUGCCGUAGGGAGGACAGCUGUCACGACGACAUUGGCCGGGUGCACAGCUGCUCUUACAACCUUGUUUAGCAAGAGACUAUUAGUUGGCCAUUGGAAUGUAAUUGAUGUGUGCAAUGGUUUAUUAGGAGGCUUUGCUGCAAUUACCUCAGGGUGUUCAGUAGUGGAACCAUGGGCAGCAAUCAUAUGUGGCUUUGUAGCGGCAUGGGUUCUAAUUGGAUUCAACAUGCUUGCAGCCAAGUUCAAGUACGAUGACCCAUUAGAAGCAGCCCAAUUACAUGGAGGAUGCGGCGCGUGGGGAUUACUCUUCACCGGGUUGUUCGCGACAAAGGCCUACGUCAACGAGGUGUAUCCGGGGCUGUCGGGGAGGCCAUAUGGGAUGUUCAUGGGCGGUGGAGGGAAGCUGUUAGGGGCUCAAAUCAUUCAGAUAUUGGUCAUAACAGGUUGGGUGACGGCGACAAUGGGGCCACUGUUUUAUGUGCUAAAAAAGAUGAAUUUGUUAAGGAUUUCAAGAGAGGAUGAAACAGCAGGGAUGGACUUGACUA